CGGACAGCAGCUCAGCUGGGUCUUGGUUCAGGCCCUGAGAAGCCUGUAGCAGAGUUCAACAGGGUCUGAGCGCAUCAGAUGGACCACACAAGCCAGCUGCAGUCCCUGUCCUGUCUGGCCUAGCUCAGCUGUCCAUUCUGAUUGAAGUCCAUCUGUCUGAGCAGCCAGCUGUCCAACCAGACCCUCCUCCCUGUCAGCUCUCCCAAUCACUCACCUGUCAGCUUCUCCUUUUCCCUUCCCCGUGUUUCUCAUGAAACCAACUUGUGUUGGCUGCUUGGACUGGAAAUGGACUGAAAGCCGUCUUUCCAAAA
Molecule: long non-coding RNA, 311 nt
Filed under: Mus pahari (shrew mouse)
Lineage: Eukaryota; Metazoa; Chordata; Mammalia; Rodentia; Muridae
Description: lncRNA (MGP_PahariEiJ_G0006233.1)
Source: RNAcentral